AGCGAACGCUGGCGGCAGGCCUAACACAUGCAAGUCGAGCGCCCAGCAAUGGGAGCGGCAGACGGGUGAGUAACGCGUGGGGAUCUGCCCAUUGGUACGGAAUAACCCAGGGAAACUUGGAUUAAUACCGUAUGAGCCCUUCGGGGGAAAGAUUUAUCGCCAAUGGAUGAACCCGCGUCUGAUUAGCUAGUUGGUGAGGUAAAGGCUCACCAAGGCGACGAUCAGUAGCUGGUCUGAGAGGAUGAUCAGCCACACUGGGACUGAGACACGGCCCAGACUCCUACGGGAGGCAGCAGUGGGGAAUAUUGGACAAUGGGCGCAAGCCUGAUCCAGCCAAGCCGCGUGAGUGAUGAAGGCCUUAGGGUUGUAAAGCUCUUUCGCCGGUGAAGAUAAUGACGGUACCUAAGGAGAAAGCACCGGCUAAAUACGUGCCAGCAGCCGCAGUAA
Molecule: ribosomal RNA, 447 nt
Filed under: uncultured bacterium
Lineage: Bacteria
Description: partial 16S ribosomal RNA
Rfam family: Bacterial small subunit ribosomal RNA
Source: RNAcentral